UUGGAUUCAAAGAAUUGUUCAUGUAUGGAUUUUCUAUAAUAAAAAAUCAAUGUAUCGAACUAUAAUGGUAAAUAAAUUGGCAUAAUAAGAUUUCGAUUUUAUUCCUUAUAUAAUUAGUGGCUUUAAAUUAUUGAAACAAUAUAACUUCAAUUUCUAAGUUACCAGUGCUUUCCAAACUGUCGAAUAUAUGUAGCUUAAUUUUCACAUGCACAUGUGUACAUAACUAUAAAUCCUAUAAAUUGCGUAUUCGUGAAAGGAUUUUUUUUUUUUUUCAGAGAUUAAUUUGUUGAACAAAACGGUAACUAAAUUGACAUAUUUUGUUUCAUGCCAUAAAUAACUUGGCAACCUAAACGAGUACAACUUGCAAUUAAAGUAUAUAUGACUCCAAGGACGGCGUUGUUUGUUGGUAAGUAAGUAUGAACUUUAGUAAAUCUGUGAUGGAACCACGGUAGAUUGGAAUUUCGAUUUCUCAAUAUUAUCUUACUGAAACUAAGGCCAGAAUCAAAUCCCAAUAUAUUAUCGAAUUAAUGGACCUUGAUGGUACAUUUUUAAAAAUACAAAAACGCUACGUUGCCGAAUUCGUUUACCAAUUAUUUGGAUGCGAAAGAGAUACUAGUUUUUUUAAAACAGAGUUAUGUGGUGAUAAAAUAAAAUAAAAAUGACAACCAAAGAGAUAUUGUUUCUAAAAACUUUAAUUCUUUCCUAUUAUUCGGUGGAUCGAACUCGAAAUAAGUACAAAAUAAUCAUAUUUAGCACACACUAAAGAAAUUAGUAAUAGUUACUUGUUUUAAGAUUCAGAACUACGUGCUUGAGACUAAAAUAUACAAUUAUUUUAUAUUAGUUAACUUCGUUGUAAUCCUUAUCUGUACAACUUUAUAUGUUUUUCAAGUGAUUAAAAGAGGUCAUUCAGAACCAUCACUUAUAUAUUUGCCUUAUUUACUACAACAGUUUGAGAAUAGAAGACUAUUUCUUAUAAACUUUUGAAUUUCAUGUUGUCGCCUAAUUAGCGAAAAUUGUUAGGUGUUACACUAUUUCAAUUGCCUUUUUUUCGUUGUGUUCGGUAAUUUAGAAUCACUUCACUGUUUGCUCGUGUACCACACCUUUAUCAUCACAGUAUUAUGAAAUAUAAAAAAAUUCAAACCAAGUAAGCUAUAAGUAAAAAAAUUCUUUACUAGUUUAUUUAAAACAGAGUUAUGUGGUGAUAAAAUAAAAUAAAAAUGACAACCAAAGAGAUAUUGUUUUUGAAAACUUUAAUUCUUUCGUGUUAUUCAGUGGAUCGAACACGAAAUUAGUAAGAAAUAAUCAUAUUUCGCACACACUAAAGAAAUUAGUAAUAUUUACUUGUUUUGAGAUUCAGAACUACGUGCUUGAAACUAAAAUAUACAAUUAUUUUAUAUUAGUUAACUUCGUUGUAAUCCUUAUCUGUACAACUUUAUCUGUUUUUCAAGUGAUUAAAAGAGGUCAUUCAGAACCAUCACUUAUAUUUGCCAUAUUUACUACAACAGUUUGAGAAUAGAAGACUAUUACUUAUAAACUUUUGAAUUUCAUGUCGUCGCCUAAUUAGCGAAAAUUGUUUGGUGUUAUAGUAUUUCAAUUACUUUUUUUCGUUGUGUUCGGUAAUUUAGAAUCACUUCACUUUUUGCUCGUGUACCACACCUUUAUCGUCACAGUAUUAUGAAAUAAAAAAAAAUUCAAACCACUUAAACUGUAAGUAAGGAGGUGAUGUUAUUUAUUAUCCGUUCAAACAUUUAACGAACAUAUUGGGAGAACAUAAGAUUUUUGGUGCACGUCAUAAGUAUAUGCUAUAUAUUGAUGUAUCAAGUAGCACUGAUUAUGGCAUUUCCUUCUGUGCUUGUGGAUGUGUAGAGAUGUCUUGAAGAAUGAACUUCAAUAUUUUAUCUGGCGGACACUUACACCAAUUCUCGACGCAUGUGCAUGGGCCGCAUAGAGCAGAUGUUUGGCACGGAUAACGAGUAACUGGACCUCUUGCUUCGGCUCCAAAUUGCACACCUAUCACAAUUAAUAUUUCCAUAAUUCAUAAUAAAACUGCUUCUUGCCUUUAUUGUGAAUAUACUGCUUUAUGCAUAAGUUUACGUUACAAAAAUAUACACUUAAACUUGACUUUAUGGCUGAAAAUAUCGACAAUUGUUAGGUUAAAGUAUAUAAUUUUAACGAGUUAUCAAGGACAUAUACACAAUUUCAAAAUAAGUGAAGUCAACCAGGUUGGAGAAAAAAAUUCCUAUAUGCAGUUUUAUUGUUCAAAGAAGUCAGCCCCUGAGGUUAGCCUAGGUUGUUAGGAUUAACGUUCGGACUAUAUUAUGUCAAGAAUAAAUUUCUCUUUCAUUGUAACAAAAAUAAAAAUUGAGGGAAGUAUUUUACCAUUAUAUGAAACAAGAAGGAGCACAAUGAGGAAAGCUGACUUGAAUGAACCUUUCUCCAUAUCUAUUCAAUAUGUUGAAGGCAAGGAAGGAUUAUAGGUUUGUAUGUGGUAUAAAACUUGAAUUCGGAGUCACUAGUUUUUAAAAAGACUACAAUAUAUAUAGGUGAAUUUGAAAACUAUGUUCUAUGAUUGCACAUCUCGGUGACGUUGGAUUCAACGAAUUGUUCAUGCAUGAAUUUUGUAAACAAAUCAAUUUAUCGAACUAUAAUGGUAAAUAAGUUAUGAUAGUAUGAUUGCGAUUUGAUGCCUAGUAUAAUUAGGUGCAUAUUCAAGCCAUAUAGCUUAAUUUCUAACUUAUUUGUGCUCUCCAAACCUAAGAUUGUAUGUAACUUAUUUUUUGUAAAUGCAUGUUUAGAAAUGGUAAGUUAAAUAAAUUGUGUAUUCAUGAAAGGAAAAAUUAUUUUAAGAGAUGAAUUUGUUCGACCAGAACGGUAACUAAAUUAGCAUAUUAGGUUUCAAGCCAAAACAAGUACGACCUUAAUUCAAAGUAUAUAUAUAUAUAUUUUUUAUUAAUGGCUUUAUUUGCUGUACAAAAGUAUGACUUUAAGCAACGCCAUGACGAGUGCAUUGGAUUCAAAGAAUUGUUCAUGUAUGGAUUUUCUAUAAUAAAAAAUCAAUGUAUCGAACUAUAAUGGUAAAUAAAUUGGCAUAAUAAGAUUUCGAUUUUAUUCCUUAUAUAAUUAGUGGCUUGAAAUUAUUGAAACAAUAUAACUUAAAUUUCUAAGUUACCAGUGCUUUCCAAACUGUCGAAUAUAUGUAACUUAAUUUUCACAUGUACAUGUGUACAUAACUAUAAAUCCUAUAAAUUGCGUAUUCGUGAAUGGAUUUUUUUUUUCCAGAGAUUAAUUUGUUGAACAAAACGGUAACUAAAUUGACAUAUUAUGUUUCAUGCCAUAAAUAACUUGGCAACCUAAACGAGUACAACUUGCAAUUAUUGACUCCAAGGACGGCGUUCUUUGUUGGUACGUAAGUAUGAACUUUAGUAAAUCUGUGAUGAAACCACGGUAGGUUGGAAUUUCGAUUUCUCAAUAUUAUGUUACUGAAACUAAGGCCAGAAUCAAAUCCCAAUAUAUUAUCGAAUUAAUGGACCUUGAUGGUACAUUUUUUAAAAUACAAAAACUCUACGUUGCCGAACUCGUUUACCAAUUUUUUGUGUGCGAAAGAGAUACUAGUUUUUUUAAAACAGAGUUAUGUGGUGAUAAAAUAAAAUAAAAAUGACAACAAAGACAUAUUGUUUUUUAAAACUUUAAUUCUUUCAUGUUAUUCGGUGGAUCGAACACGAAAUUAGUAAGAAAUAAUCAUAUUUAGCACACACUUAAGAAAGAAUUUUAUAUUCGUUAACUUCGUUGUAAUCCUUAUCUGUGCAACUUUAUCUGUUUUUCAGGUGAUUAAAAGAGGUCAUUCAGAACCAUCACUUGUAUUUGCCAUAUUUACUACAACAGUUUGAGAAUAGAAGACUAUUACUUAUAAACUUUUGAAUUUCAUGUUGUCGCCGAAUUAGCGAAAAUUGUUUGGUGUUACACUAUUUCAAUUACUUUUUUUCGUUGUGUUCGGUAAUUUAGAAUCACUUCACUGUUUGCUCGUGUACCACACCUUUAUCAUCACAGUAUUAUGAAAUAUAAAAAAAUUCAAACCAAGUAAGCCAUAAGUAAGAAGGUGAUGUUAUUUAUUAUCCACUCAAACAUUUAACGAACAUAUUGGGAGAACAUAAGAUUUUUGGUGCACUUCAUAAGUAUAUGCUAUAUAUUGAUGUAUCAAGUAGCGCUGAUUAUGGCAUUUCCUUCUGUGCUUGCGGGUGUGUAGAGAUGUCUUGAAGAAUGAACUUCGAUAUUUUAUCUGGCGGACACUUACACCAAUUCUCGACGCAUGUGCAUGGGCCGCAUAGAGCAGAUGUUUGGCACGGAUAACGAGUAACUGGACCUCUUGCUUCGGCUCCAAAUUGCACACCUACCACAAUUAAUAUUUCCAUAAUUCAUAAUAAAACUGUUUUUUGCCUUUAUUUUGAACAUACUGCUUUAUGCAUAAGUUUACGUUACAAAAAUAUACACUUAAACUCGACUUUAUGGCUGAAAAUAUCGACAAUUGUUAGGUUAAAGUAUAUAAUUUUAACGAUGUAUCAAAGACAUAUACACAUUUUCAAAAUAAGUGAGGUCAACCAGGUUGGAGCAAAAAAUUCCAAUAUGCAGUUGUAUUGUUCAAAGAAGUCAGCCCCAGAGGUUAGCCUAGGUUGUUAGGAUUAACGUUCGGAUUAUAGUAUGUCAAGAAUAAAUUUCUCUUUCAUUGUCACAAAAAUAAAAAUUGAGAGAAGUAUUUUACCAUUAUAUGAAACAAGAAGGAGCACAAUGAGGAAAGCUAACUUGAAUGAACCUUUCUCCAUAUCUAUUCAAUUUGUUGAAGGCAAGGAAGGAUUAUGGGUUUGUACGUGGUAUAAAACUUGAAUUCGGAGUCACUAGUUUUUAAAAAGACUACAAUAUAUAUAGGUGAAUUUGAAAACUAUUUUCUAUGAUUGCACAUCUCGGUGAGGUUGGAUUCAACGAAUUGUUCAUGCAUGAAUUUUGUAAACAAAUCAAUUUAUCGAACUAUAAUGGUAAAUAAGUUAUGAUAAUAAGAUUGCGAUUUGAUGCCUAGUAUUAUUAGGUGCAUAUUCAAGCUAUAUAGCUUAAUUUCUAACCUAUUCGUGCUCUCCAAACCUAACAUUAUAUGUAACUUAUUUUUUGUAAAUGCAUGUUUAGAAAUGAUAAGUUAAAUAAAUUGUGUAUGCAUGAAAGGAAAUAUUAUUUUAAGAGAUGAUUUUGUUCGACUAGAAUGGUAACUAAAUUUGCAUAUUAGGUUUCAAGCCAAUACAAGUACGACCUUAAUUCAAAGUAUAUAUAUUUUAUUAUUGGCGAUAUUUGCUGUACAAAAGUAUGACUUUAAGCAAUGCCAUGAUGAGCGCAUUGGAUUCAAAGAAUUGUUCAUGUAUGGAUUUUCUAUGAUAAAAAAUCAAUGUAUCGAACUAUAAUGGUAAAUAAAUUGGCAUAAUAAGAUUUCGAUUUUAUUCCUUAUAUAAUUAGUGGCUUUAAAUUAUUGAAACAAUAUAACUUCAAUUUCUAAGUUACCAGUGCUUUCCAAAUUGUCGAAUAUAUGUAGCUUAAUUUUCACAUGCACAUGUGUACAUAACUAUAAAUCCUAUAAAUUGCGUAUUCGUGAAAGGAUUUUUUUUUUUUUUUUCAGAGAUUAAUUUGUUGAACAAAACGGUAACUAAAUUGACAUAUUUUGUUUCAUGCCAUAAAUAACUUGGCAACCUAAACGAGUAAAACUUGCAAUUAAAGUAUAUAUGACUCCACGGACGGCGUUGUUUGUUGGUACGUAAGUAUGAACUUUAGUAAAUCUGUGAUGGAACCACGGUAGAUUGGAAUUUCGAUUUCUCAAUAUUAUCUUACUGAAACUAAG
RNAcentral lists this long non-coding RNA (5872 nucleotides) under Prunus persica (peach). RNAcentral describes it as "long non-coding RNA (PPER_LNC008576)". The record is from RNAcentral. Lineage: Eukaryota; Viridiplantae; Streptophyta; Magnoliopsida; Rosales; Rosaceae.